GGAGGGGUGCCCGAGCGGCUAAAGGGGGCGGCCUCGAAAGCCGCUGGGCCUCUGGUCGGCCCCGUGGGUUCGAAUCCCACCCCCUCCG
This 88-nucleotide transfer RNA is filed under the name Thermanaeromonas toyohensis ToBE. It matches the Rfam family "tRNA". Rfam says of the family: Transfer RNA (tRNA) molecules are approximately 80 nucleotides in length. Their secondary structure includes four short double-helical elements and three loops (D, anti-codon, and T loops). Lineage: Bacteria; Bacillati; Bacillota; Clostridia; Neomoorellales; Neomoorellaceae. The record is from Rfam by way of RNAcentral.